RNAcentral lists this ribosomal RNA (254 nucleotides) under uncultured bacterium. Its description in RNAcentral is "partial 16S ribosomal RNA". It matches the Rfam family "Bacterial small subunit ribosomal RNA", at positions 524 to 776 of the family's 1533-position model. The record is from RNAcentral.
UACGAAGGUCCCAAGCGUUAUCCGGAUUUAUUGGGUUUAAAGGGUGCGUAGGCGGACUAUUAAGUCAGUGGUGAAAGCCCCAGCUUAACUUGGGAACUGCCAUUGAUACUGAUGGUCUUGAGUACAUUUGAGGUGGGCGGAAUGUGUCAUGUAGCGGUGAAAUGCUUAGAUAUGACACAGAACACCGAUUGCGAAGGCAGCUCACUAAACUGUAAACUGACGCUGAGGCACGAAAGCGUGGGGGAGCAAACAGG